AUUUCCGGAAGGUGUUGGACUUCCGGUUGGGGGAAGGAGUAGGGUUCAGCAUAUAGUACUACAGGUUCAUUAUAUUAGUUCUAAGAAUAUAGAUAAAACUAUUGGAGACUGGAGUGGGGUAACUGUUACCUAUUCAAGAGAACCAACCCCUAAGAUAGCAGGAGUAUUUUCUCUUCAUGUUCAUGGUCAUAUUCCUCCAAACUCAAGAGUAUACUGGGAUUCAUUAUGUCAGGUAUCAGGAUCAGCAGAACUUGAACCCUGGGGUUUCCUGGGACACACUCAUAAGCAUGGCAGAUUAGUUUCAGGAUGGAAGAUUGAAGAUAAGGAAUGGAUUAAGAUUGGAAGAUCUAAUCCUCAAAACCCACAACAGUUUCUUCCUGUUCAACAAAAAAUAAUAUUAAAGCCAGGAGAUCUUAUUGGAUCACGUUGUGUUUUCGAGAAUGCAGAAGGAGAAGGAGAAAUAGUUCAAGG
Eurytemora carolleeae is the source of this 471-nucleotide long non-coding RNA. RefSeq lists it as uncharacterized. The record is from RefSeq and is a predicted model, not a curated record. The transcript is spliced from 6 exons. NCBI's taxonomy places the organism in Eukaryota, Metazoa, Arthropoda, Copepoda, Calanoida, Temoridae.